Molecule: long non-coding RNA, 1295 nt
Organism: Numida meleagris (helmeted guineafowl)
Lineage: Eukaryota; Metazoa; Chordata; Aves; Galliformes; Numididae
Exons: 3
Source: RefSeq, a predicted model, not a curated record
AGCACACUGGAUGAGGCUCUAGCUCUUUACAACUUUGAUCCAGAAACCCCAGUGGGGAUAUUAUUGAAAACAUCAGUGCAGACAGGUUCUGGCCCUGCCCUCAUAAGAGGAAAAAGCCCUUUCGCAGUUGAGGUCUUAUUAUAUUAAGUUAAAAAUUUAUAGCAUUUAACUAGGCUGUAACCAGUUAAUGUGACUCAGGAAAGGCUGUAAUGUGGAUGGAGGCAUUACCACUUUGCCUCACUGCAGAAGUUACUGUUUUUCCAGACCUCACAUGUGAGAGGAGCCCAGUUAAAGCACGUCUAGCAAUUAGGCUGUGAGGUCACCUGAUUAAGUGAGGGGCAUCAGCAGGGUUUCAGGCUGACUGACUUCAGCUGGGCUGUGGCUAACAGCCUGAAACAUUUCUUUACCAGUGCUGUUGGGCUGAGCUCCUUCCCUACGACUUAUCAGCACCAGCAUUUCAGUAAAGCUAUGAGCGGCAGCUCUUACUGCCUGGGAACAAACUCAUGCGGCCCAGUCAGGAGGAUGGCAGCUCUACACAACCGGUACAAAUAAGGACCAGGCCUUUGUUUCUGCUCUUGCUGGCGUUCCCUGGCACGCUGAGAGUUUUGCAGUGGAGGGGAACAGACGCGCAGCGAAUUCCUCCCGGCCGUGUGAAUGCCCUCGGUGUUCAGGCUUCAACUAGCACCAGGGCGUUCUGCCUGUGUGGGUGUUUGGAGGAGUCCUACUGAUGGCCGAAAACGACCUAGAUUUUGUUUGUAUAACGUGGUGCAUUUGGAAGAGAAAAAAAGAUCAGAUGAAGAGGAUCCCCUUCUAGCACAGAUGCCCGCUCCCCAGCUGACCUACCCAGACAACUCUGCCCUCCUUUCUGGUGGAGAAUGGAGCGGCUCCCACGGAUUAACUUGGUGACAUCUGUUUGGGUAACACACGGACAAGAUGGGGAGUUGCAAUUCGUACACCUCUGUUUUCUUUUGAAACCCUUCCCAAUUAUAGGAGAUUAAAACCUUUAAUGUGUCAUUAUUUUGGGCUAGAUAUCAACUGCCAAGCACAACCAUGCUCUUCAGAUUACGAAUCAAGAAAAGAAUGAGUUUGUUAAAAUGGCAUGCUUGCCAUACAGAGUAACUGCUCCCCUUUAGCUUUACGCAGGAAGGUUUUCAGAUUUAUGGCAAAGCCAAGUGUUGGUCUUUGUAAAGGGGAAAGCAGGGCUGGAAGAAAGCCCUGACACACAUCUGUGCUGCAGGGAGUCAAGCAGCAAAACCCAGGGCUUUUCUGCUGCUCUAACCAGGGGUUUGUGUACC